GAGUGCUUGCACUCAAUUGGAAAGAGGAGUGGCGGACGGGUGAGUAACACGUGGGUAACCUACCCAUCAGAGGGGGAUAACACUUGGAAACAGGUGCUAAUACCGCAUAACAGUUUAUGCCGCAUGGCAUAAGAGUAAAAGGCGCUUUCGGGUGUCGCUGAUGGAUGGACCCGCGGUGCAUUAGCUAGUUGGUGAGGUAACGGCUCACCAAGGCCACGAUGCAUAGCCGACCUGAGAGGGUGAUCGGCCACACUGGGACUGAGACACGGCCCAGACUCCUACGGGAGGCAGCAGUAGGGAAUCUUCGGCAAUGGACGAAAGUCUGACCGAGCAACGCCGCGUGAGUGAAGAAGGUUUUCGGAUCGUAAAACUCUGUUGUUAGAGAAGAACAAGGACGUUAGUAACUGAACGUCCCCUGACGGUAUCUAACCAGAAAGUCACGGCUAACUACGUGCCAGCAGCCGCGGUAAUACGUAGGUGGCAAGCGUUGUCCGGAUUUAUUGGGCGCAAAGCGAGCGCAGGCGGUUUCUUAAGUCUGAUGUGAAAGCCCCCGGCUCAACCGGGGAGGGUCAUUGGAAACUGGGAGACUUGAGUGCAGAAGAGGAGAGUGGAAUUCCAUGUGUAGCGGUGAAAUGCGUAGAUAUAUGGAGGAACACCAGUGGCGAAGGCG
This 670-nucleotide ribosomal RNA is filed under the name uncultured Bacilli bacterium. RNAcentral describes it as "bacterial SSU rRNA". It matches the Rfam family "Bacterial small subunit ribosomal RNA", at positions 64 to 723 of the family's 1533-position model. The record is from RNAcentral. Lineage: Bacteria; Bacillati; Bacillota; Bacilli.